ACUGCCCUCCUGGCUGAAGAAGAAGAAGAAGAAGCACAGAGCGAAGAAACGCUGGCAAUACGACCCAUCGAACGGUUCACAGAAAGAUAACAGAGCAAUAGUCUCAAUCUCUACCCUCGACAGAUGGGAGAACGCCCAAGAGUCAAGCGACCGACUUCAUCGGUGCAUUCUUCCUCUCCGGGGACCGACGAAGAUGAAGAUUUUUUGCGCUUGCUAGCUGCAAACAUGGCACGAAUGACUCCAGAGCGGAGUCUUGAGUUCCAGCAGCAACUUAUGGAGCUCCUGGAAAUUUUUCUAUCUGGCGAUGAUGCAGAGAUUGAAAUACUCUAAAAGUCCAGAACCAGAUCUAACCGUCACUUAGGGAAUGAAGAAUGUACAGUAUACUGGGAAGGUGAACCACAACACUCUUUGUACUGAUAACCAACUCGCAUUGUGAUCCUUUUAAUAAACCGUGCUCAUCAGAGCUUAUGCAUUCCCACCACGCGA
Ornithodoros turicata is the source of this 486-nucleotide long non-coding RNA. RefSeq lists it as uncharacterized. The transcript is spliced from 3 exons. NCBI's taxonomy places the organism in Eukaryota, Metazoa, Arthropoda, Arachnida, Ixodida, Argasidae. The record is from RefSeq and is a predicted model, not a curated record.